CAUGCACAGGUAUGUUCAUUGCAGCACUACUCGCAAUAGCAAAGACUUGGAACCAACCCAAAUGUCCAUCAAUGAUAGAAUGGAUAAAGAAAAUGUGGCACAUAUACACCAUGGAAUACUAUGCAGUCAUAAAAAGGAUGAGUUCAUGUCCUUUGCAGGGACAUGGAUGAAGCUGGAAACCAUCAUUCUCAGCAAGCUGUCACAAACUAUCGUAGGAACAGACAACCAAACACCACAUGUUCUCACUUAUAAAUGGGAGUUUAACAAGAACACAUGGACACAGGGAAGGGAACUCACACACCUGGGCCUGUUGGGGGGUGGGAGCCUAAGGAAGGGAUAACAUUAGGAGAAAUACCUAAUGUAGGUGACAGGUUGAUGGGUGCAGCAAACGACCAUGGCACGUGCAUACCUAUGUAACAAAACUGCACGUUCUGCACAUGUACCGCAGAACUUAAAGUAUAAUAAAUAAAUAUAUAAAUAUUUAUAAAUAAAUAAUUAAUAAAUACAUAAAUAUCAGAAAAUAAAAGGAAAAAACUGAACCUUGAAUUUUUUUCUUUUAGAAUAUUUAUAAUAUUUAACGUAUUUGAAGGUGAAGGCCAUCCUACAUGGACAUCUGAAGCUUUAGCUAAGUAUUAUCUUUUCUGUAAUGUGACUAUUGGUUUGCAGUUCGGUUCUUCUUUUCGAAUAGUAUGAGAUUAAUUUUCUCAGUACUUAAAUCACUCCUCAGUUAAGUUGGAUGUUCAUGGAGGAACAUUCUUUCCUUCAGGUUGCUGAUACAUUUGCUGCACUGUAGGGGAGGGAGUGGGUAUCUGAGUUAGUCAGUUUUACCAUUUAUAAAAUGUUUGGUGGAGGAAAUUGAAACUAAUCGCUAAAUUGUUAGUAACCAGUGCAUUAACUAGGACCCUACUGAGUGGACUGAAAGAAUCGAAAAUGUUUAACUGGUUGAGAGGCAAUGAUGUUGCAAAUGGGGUAUUCUUCAAAGCUCCUUCUUUUUUUGAAUCUUCAAAGGCAAUUAUUCUCAAUGUAAACUACAGACCAAAUUGCAGUCUUCUGUAAGCAUUUCAGAGAUUACCUCAAAUAUUUUUUGAUUAAAAAACUCUUCUGUGGUCUUUUGUGCUUCAGAACUACCCAGUACAACAGGGUCUUCAGCCUGCUCAGGAUCUCUAAAGAGAGCUAGCACACAGUCAGCCAACUUUGGCUGCUUCAACUCCUAGGAACAAGAAAUGAUGCUGAGAUAAUUUGUCUGGCAGGUAUUAUCAGCCCACAAUGACUGCUGUCAUUUAGCCUCAAAAUGUUUAUUUUUCCUUUUACAAUGCUGUAUUUCUUUAGAACCUUCCUAUUCCGAGUGUGGACCCUAGGCCGGCCCCAUAGACUUCCCCUGGGGACUUGUCAGAAAUGCAUAAUUUUAGGCCCCACCCCAGACCUGUUGGACCAGAAUCUUCAUUUAACAAGAUGCCCAGAAAACCUGAGAUAAUCAAAGACCCACAACUAAGUAAGACCUCUCAGGAUCUCAAAGCCAAGUGUUUUACAGAGAAGAGAAGAUAGAUAAGGCAUAUUAUCUAGGAGUGGAAAAGAAUUCUAUGCUGAAAAUGUUGAAGAGAGAAUUCAAAAUCAAAUUCAACAUUCCACCUAGGAGGCUUCCAUCUCUGCUUAGGAGCUGAGUAAUGGAGGUGACUGGUGUAAGUGUUCAGUACCUAUGAACACCUAACUCUUGAGGGAGAGACUCCAGUGUAAACUUCCUACUCAAUACUGCCUU
Molecule: small RNA, 1756 nt
Filed under: Pan troglodytes (chimpanzee)
Lineage: Eukaryota; Metazoa; Chordata; Mammalia; Primates; Hominidae
Description: sense intronic
Source: RNAcentral